This 1343-nucleotide ribosomal RNA is filed under the name uncultured bacterium. RNAcentral describes it as "16S ribosomal RNA". It matches the Rfam family "Bacterial small subunit ribosomal RNA", at positions 28 to 1378 of the family's 1533-position model. The record is from RNAcentral.
GACGAACGCUGGCGGCGUGCUUAACACAUGCAAGUCGAACGGAAAGGCCCUGCUUUUGUGGGGUGCUCGAGUGGCGAACGGGUGAGUAACACGUGAGUAACCUGCCCUUGACUUUGGGAUAACUUCAGGAAACUGGGGCUAAUACCGGAUAGGAGCUCCUGCUGCAUGGUGGGGGUUGGAAAGUUUCGGCGGUUGGGGAUGGACUCGCGGCUUAUCAGCUUGUUGGUGGGGUAGUGGCUUACCAAGGCUUUGACGGGUAGCCGGCCUGAGAGGGUGACCGGCCACAUUGGGACUGAGAUACGGCCCAGACUCCUACGGGAGGCAGCAGUGGGGAAUAUUGCACAAUGGGCGGAAGCCUGAUGCAGCAACGCCGCGUGCGGGAUGACGGCCUUCGGGUUGUAAACCGCUUUCGCCUGUGACGAAGCGUGAGUGACGGUAAUGGGUAAAGAAGCACCGGCUAACUACGUGCCAGCAGCCGCGGUGAUACGUAGGGUGCGAGCGUUGUCCGGAUUUAUUGGGCGUAAAGGGCUCGUAGGUGGUUGAUCGCGUCGGAAGUGUAAUCUUGGGGCUUAACCCUGAGCGUGCUUUCGAUACGGGUUGACUUGAGGAAGGUAGGGGAGAAUGGAAUUCCUGGUGGAGCGGUGGAAUGCGCAGAUAUCAGGAGGAACACCAGUGGCGAAGGCGGUUCUCUGGGCCUUUCCUGACGCUGAGGAGCGAAAGCGUGGGGAGCGAACAGGCUUAGAUACCCUGGUAGUCCACGCUGUAAACGGUGGGUACUAGGUGUGGGGUCCAUUCCACGGGUUCCGUGCCGUAGCUAACGCUUUAAGUACCCCGCCUGGGGAGUACGGCCGCAAGGCUAAAACUCAAAGGAAUUGACGGGGCCCCGCACAAGCGGCGGAGCAUGCGGAUUAAUUCGAUGCAACGCGUAGAACCUUACCUGGGUUUGACAUGGAUCGGGAGUGCUCAGAGAUGGGUGUGCCUCUUUUGGGGUCGGUUCACAGGUGGUGCAUGCCUGUCGUCAGCUCGUGUCGUGAAAUGUUGGGUUAAGUCCCGCAACGAGCGCAACCCUUGUUCACUGUUGCCAGCACGUUAUGGUGGGGACUCAGUGGAGACCGCCGGGGUCAACUCGGAGGAAGGUGGGGAUGACGUCAAGUCCUCAUGCCCCUUAUGUCCAGGGCUUCACGCAUGCUACAAUGGCUGGUACAGAGAGUGGCGAGCCUGUGAGGGUGAGCGAAUCUCGGAAAGCCGGUCUCAGUUCGGAUUGGGGUCUGCAACUCGACCUCAUGAAGUCGGAGUCGCUAGUAAUCGCAGAUCAGCAACGCUGCGGUGAAUACGUUCCCGGG